RNAcentral lists this long non-coding RNA (1941 nucleotides) under Dendronephthya gigantea. Its description in RNAcentral is "uncharacterized LOC114532983". The record is from RNAcentral. Lineage: Eukaryota; Metazoa; Cnidaria; Anthozoa; Malacalcyonacea; Nephtheidae.
UUUACAUCAUCUUUAAAUAUUUUUUUCAAACUUACAAAUACUACCGCUGUUCUAUAUAAUUUGGUUGAUCUUUAUGUCACAUUUGGCGCCCCAUACCCGUUCCUCGUGUUCUAAAUCACAUAUAGCGAGAGUUCUAAAUUUUAGAACGUCGGAUAUAUGUGACAGAGGUGAUCACCUAAACAACCUGACGGCCGAUUUAUUUAAGGUGGCUGCUUGCCUUAUAUUGCGCUGUUCUAUCGCCAAUAUGGCUACUGAUAGAGCAGGUUAUGAUGUUUUAAGCGAUGAGCAAAAGUCUCUCCUGAGGAGGUUUUAUGAGGAUGGCAUGAAAACAACUUCUAAACAAAUGCAGGAAAGAAUAGCCCGUGCUGCUGACGUGGUAGGAGUAAGCUAUCAAACAGUUAAGGUAACGUUUCACUUUAACUCUUUUUUAUUGCACGAAAUCAGUGAAUCAGUAUUACUGAGUCUCGGGAUAAAUGUUUAGCUUGCUGCCUACCAAACCGGUCAGUUCUUAUCGACAAAAUGAAGAUUCGAUGAAUAUCGUUUCUAUUUCAUACUGAUAUUUGCAAAUACAUUUGCAUAUAUAAAUAUAAUUCGUAGACAUUAUUUCCAUAUCAUUUCCAUAUCACACGCACGUAUAUUUAUCAUUCAUUACUAAAAUUCUAAAUACGUAUUUAUGGCUGACAGUGACAUAUAAAUAUACAAGUGAGCUAUAUCGUCCAGCAGUCCCUUCUCAGGAAUAUAAUAUUUUUGGCAAACAAUGAAUACUGCCGGUGGGAACAAUCAACAUAUAGUUUAUAUUUAUUCUUUGUUGUGUCAAUGGACAGAAAUGUUUGUGUGGCUUGUUGAUAUUAUAUUAUAAUCUAUUACAAUAUAAUAUUUAAUAUAAGGUGAAGGAACUGCCUUACUGGUUCUGUGGUUCUCAUUAUUUCGAGUAAAACUAUAUAAUUGUAUAUUAUAGCAUUUUAUUUAAAUAUUUAACAUUUACACUGUUUUGGUUCAUCAGGCUGAGUUUUAUUUUGAAGGAUAUUAUGUAGAGAUGUAUAAACAUAUUGAUAAAUCAGAUUGAUAUAACAUAUUACAUACACUAACAUUUACUGUAUUGCAGAAGUGGAUUGGGAAUGAAAGGAUGAGACGAAAAAGGAAAGAAAUUGGAGAGACUAGUAAUUCUGUUCAAACUGAAGCCCUGCCUGCCAAAUACCCUGCAAAGCGGGUAACAUCGGGCUAUAACAUGUUUUCAUCUAAAAUCCUUGGCUCUGGUCAAUUGAAUCUAAGGCAGAGAAAAUGAGCUUGGUUGCUUCAAAGUGGAAUCUCUAAGUGACAAUGAAAAAAGUGUUUGGCGAGACGAGGCAAAGAAAUGUGAAAGUGCACCAACAAUGCUUACGUCAGAAGAAAAACGAAAGCAAAUUGUAAAGAGCAGGAAAAACCUUAUUAAAGAGCUUAUGUAUCUUGAAAGCCUUGGAUGUGAGACAGCAGUUGUGAUGUAUGACUCUGAAACUAGGACUGUCAAUCAAUAUGGGUCAGCAAAAGGUGCACAGUUUCUGAUGGCAAAUGAAACAAUUCCUUUAAAGUUUAUGAACUUUUUUGAUGCAGCAAACAGUAAAGUACACAAAAAAGUACACCAACAGUGAUGUCAGAGACUUGUUUAAUAAGAAGUACAGUGAAGCCUGUGGGGAACCUGGAUCCCGUGUGCCAUAUCUAAAUGGACGUUUCAGUGUAACUGGCCUUCCGGAUGGUGUGGAAUUCUCUAAGCCGAACAAUUAUGGGGAAGACAAAAUAAAAAAAAAAUGAGAUGUCAAGAGAGCAUAGCUUUCCAUAUCGAGGAAAAAGCACAGAAUCAGGUGGUGACAUGGCUAAAGAUGGAAUUGGAAUACUAGAUAAAGAACUACCGGGUGGCGCAAAAAAAAGUUAACCUGUUUGAUUGAGUAUAACUUCAAAAUUAAA